RNAcentral lists this ribosomal RNA (254 nucleotides) under uncultured bacterium. Its description in RNAcentral is "partial 16S ribosomal RNA". It matches the Rfam family "Bacterial small subunit ribosomal RNA", at positions 524 to 776 of the family's 1533-position model. The record is from RNAcentral.
UACGUAGGGUGCGAGCGUUGUCCGGAAUUAUUGGGCGUAAAGAGCUCGUAGGCGGUGUGUCACGUCGGCCGUGAAAACCUGCAGCUUAACUGUGGGCGUGCGGUCGAUACGGGCAUCACUGGAGUUCGGCAGGGGAGACUGGAAUUCCCGGUGUAGCGGUGAAAUGCGUAGAGAUUGGGAGGAACACCAGAGGCGAAGGCGGCGACCUGGACAAGUACUGACACUCAACUGCGAAAGCGUGGGUAGCAAACAGG